RNAcentral lists this ribosomal RNA (304 nucleotides) under uncultured bacterium. Its description in RNAcentral is "partial 16S ribosomal RNA". It matches the Rfam family "Bacterial small subunit ribosomal RNA", at positions 506 to 807 of the family's 1533-position model. The record is from RNAcentral.
CAGCAGUCGCCACGGUAAUACGAAGGGUGCAAGCGUUAAUCGGAAUUACUGGGCGUAAAGCGUGCGUAGGCGGUGAGUUAAGUCUGCUGUGAAAUCCCCGGGCUCAACCUGGGAAUGGCAGUGGAUACUGGCUCGCUAGAGUGUGUCAGAGGAUGGUGGAAUUCCCGGUGUAGCGGUGAAAUGCGUAGAGAUCGGGAGGAACAUCAGUGGCGAAGGCGGCCAUCUGGGACAACACUGACGCUGAGGCACGAAAGCGUGGGGAGCAAACAGGAUUAGAUACCCCAGUAGUCCCUGUCUCUUAUAC